Molecule: ribosomal RNA, 1053 nt
Filed under: Schwartzia sp. (in: firmicutes)
Lineage: Bacteria; Bacillati; Bacillota; Negativicutes; Selenomonadales; Selenomonadaceae
Description: bacterial SSU rRNA
Rfam family: Bacterial small subunit ribosomal RNA
Source: RNAcentral
AUAUUGGAGAGUUUGAUCCUGGCUCAGGACGAACGCUGGCGGCGUGCUUAACACAUGCAAGUCGAACGGGGCGAUUUGAAAGCUUGCUUUUAAUGAGCCUAGUGGCAAACGGGUGAGUAACGCGUAGGCAACCUGCCCUCAGGAUGGGGACAACGGCCCGAAAGGACCGCUAAUACCGAAUGACGUAUCUUUUUCGCAUGGAAGAGAUACCAAAGGCGGAGCAAUCCGUCACCUGAGGAUGGGCCUGCGUCUGAUUAGGUAGUUGGUGAGGUAACGGCCCACCAAGCCUACGAUCAGUAGCCGGCCUGAGAGGGUGAUCGGCCACAUUGGAACUGAGACGCGGGCCAAACUCCUACGUGAGGCAGCAGUGGGGAAUAUUGCACAAUGGGCGCAAGCAUGAUGCAGCAACGCAGCGUGAAGGAUGACGGUCUUCGGAUCGUAAACUUCUGUCCUUGGGGAAGAAGACAUGACGGUACCCAUGGAGGAAGCCCCGGCUAACUACGUGCCAGCAGCCGCGGUAAUACGUAGGGGGCGAGCGUUAUCCGGAAUUAUUGGGCGUAAAGAGUGCGUAGGUGGUUACCUAAGCAGGGGGUGAAAGGCACUGGCCUAACCAAUGUCAGCCCCCUGAACUGGGCUACUUGAGUGCAGGAGAGGGAAGUGGAAUUCCUAGUGUAGCGGUGAAAUGCGUAGAUAUUAGGAGGAACACCGGCGGCGAAGGCGACUUUCUGGACUGUUACUGACACUGAGGCACGAAAGUGUGGGGAGCAAACAGGAUUAGAUACCCUGGUAGUCCACACCGUAAACGAUGAGCACUAGGUGUCGGGUAAGCAAUUACUCGGUGCCGCAGUUAACGCAUUAAGUGCUCCGCCUGGGGAGUACGUACGCAAGUAUGAAACUCAAAGGAAUUGACGGGGACCCGCACAAGCAGCGGAGCAUGUGGUUUAAUUCGAAGCAACGCUAAGAACCUUACCAGGACUUGACAUCCCUCUGACAGCCCUGAUAACGAAGGGCCUUCUUCGGACAGAGGUGACAGGUGGUGCAUGGUUGUCGUCA